UGAGUCUGCGCCCGGACCGCGAGUGUGCCUCUGAGUCUGCGGCGCUGAGCCAGCGGUCUGAUUUGAGGGGUAACAACAAUGAGACGGGAGGCUGCCGGUUUAAUGAGCGCUGACUUCAGAGAAACAGAAAUAGUGGAUAAGACGUGGACCGAGUCCAGGAGGGGCCUCCUGCAAAGUCUGCAAAAGGACGUGCAGCUUUUCGGUGCAAUCCGCGCUCUCGGGUCUCAUGAAAGGAAAGAAGCAUCAAAAUCUGAUGAGAAGACUUCAGAGUCCAGGUCCUGCAGUGGUGGAUUUUGUUUUCCAGCAGAUGAGCAGUAUAUUGAUCAGCGCAUCCACACUUUGUUUUUAUUUUACUGUGAAAAAAGGUCACUGAGCUGAUUAACUGCCUGCUUUAAGAAAAAUGUUAUUAUUUUUCACAUUUUUAUUAAAUCAUUUAUUGAAAGUGAAGCUUUUGUCAAGUUAUUCUGUCUGCUGACAGACAGAAAUCCUUCCAAACAGAAAACUUUUUUAAUGUUAAUUUCUUAUUGUAAAUUUUUUCUUGUGCUUCUACAAACUUAAUUUUGGUUGUUUUAAGCAUAAUGCUGUCUCUGUUAAUCUCAUGAAGAAGUAAAACAAUAAUUUGAGUGUAUAUUCAUUUGUAUUAAUAUGUCAUUACUAUAGCUGUGAGGUGCUGGAAAAGCUUUAAAAUGGAUCUUGAAAGUGAUUCAAAAGUGCUUGAAUUUGUCCCAGGAAAAGGUGUAUGAACCUGCAUUUUCGUAACUAAUAUGUCUAAAACACCACAAGGGAUUUCAUUCAAAUUUUGCAAAAAAACGCGUACUAAAAGUUAAAUAAAUUUGAGAGCUGUUGUUCAGAUCUGCAGCCAUGAAAACAAGAAUAUUAAACUGAAGUGAUUUAUUCGCAGGGUCGGCCUCCGGUGGAUCUGUCCUCAGUGUCUUCUGUGUCCCAGCUGGAGUCUCUGGGUCUGGACGUUCUGAAGGAGGAACUGACGUCUCGAGGUCUGAAGUGCGGGGGAACCCUGACAGAACGUGCCGCCCGGCUCUUCUCCAUCAGAGGACUGACUCCAGAUCAGAUUGACCCGGCGCUGCUCGCCAAAUCGGCCAAGACAAAGAGGAAGUGAUGAGGUCAGAGGUCACCGCUGAGGCGGAUAAAAAGACCUCACUUUGAAAUUAAAUGAGCAGUCCGGCUUUUUUUAACUCGACAGUCAAGUGUCUACUUUUGUGCUUUUCGCAGAACUGAGGAAGAUGUUAAAACUAAUUUACGGUGUUUUGUCAUUGGAGCUUCACACUGCUGACAGAUGAUUUAUUAAUGUUUUUUCAGACUGUUUAUCAAGAAUUUUGUCAUCACUCACUCAUUUGUGGAUUUUGUCCAAUCAGAAAGCAUUUUUUUCUCAUUUUAUUUUCUUCUUUUUUGUCUCUUAUCAGUUUAAUGAGGGUCGGCUUUGACUCAGUCUCAUUGGCCUGUCAAUCGACUUCAAGUGUCUUUAUUCAUGACGAUUAAUGUGAAAUAAAAUGUUUCUAAAACAAAA
Molecule: non-coding RNA, 1525 nt
Organism: Plectropomus leopardus (leopard coralgrouper)
Lineage: Eukaryota; Metazoa; Chordata; Actinopteri; Perciformes; Serranidae
Source: RefSeq, a predicted model, not a curated record